Myotis lucifugus (little brown bat) is the source of this 44-nucleotide non-coding RNA. Lineage: Eukaryota; Metazoa; Chordata; Mammalia; Chiroptera; Vespertilionidae. The record is from Rfam.
AAAUAGGCUUUCUUAAAAGCCAAACUUUGUCUUCCAAAUAAAAU